Molecule: long non-coding RNA, 1861 nt
Organism: Eleginops maclovinus (Patagonian blennie)
Lineage: Eukaryota; Metazoa; Chordata; Actinopteri; Perciformes; Eleginopidae
Exons: 3
Source: RefSeq, a predicted model, not a curated record
UUUUUUUUACCUGUUGUGCCACUUCUGCUGUAAUAAAUGUACUUAUAUUCUGAUUCUGUUACUAAAUCAGCUAUGGCUUUUCCUUUAGCAUGAUUAAGUUCUAUGAGUUUUCAACAAAAUCAACACAACAAACAAAAUGGGAAAGCAUUCAGGGUUUGAAUGAACUAAACAAAACAACUGAAGGCGUGGUAAAUGAUGAAGGUGUUUGUCCUGUUUGCCUCUCUCUGGCCGGUACCUGUCUGACGAUCAGAGUGCUGUCUUUGCAGGGCGUCGAGCCGGCGUCGCUCUCGCCUUCGUCGUGAACGAUCAUGGUUUUCACCGACUCCGUCUCUCCAUUGCUCAGCCUGGAAGAACUGCAGGAGAAAAGAAAAGUUAAAGGAAAAAUAUAAUUCUUAUCCACAAGCACCUCUUUUCACGCUCUGUCUGUGAUUGGUCAACAGCUUCGAGAUGUCCCGCCCCUCAGUCAAUCAUGUAUAAUGUGUUGGAGUGGGAGCCUAUUGAAGCUUGAGUAUUACAAAAUGAUGUCACUAUGUCCUUUAAGUACAAAAGAGUCCAAUGGAGGUGUUUCAUGCACCUAUAUAACUCACUACAGAAAAGAGAAAUUGGGUCUCUUGAAAGUUGUACAUACACAGCUUUGGAGUCCUCCGGGCCAGAGGUCGACUCCUCGCCGGCCUCCUGGUCCACCUCUUCAUCGUCAUCUUCAUCGGUGGUGUCUGAAUCAUCACUGGAGGACGAAUAAUCUGUCACUUUAUUCGGGGGGCGAACGUCAUCCACUGCACGGAGCUCCUUUGCCAGAGCCGUCAGGUCCUAAAGGUCGGGAGGUGAAAGAAAGUGAAAGCAGGAAACAGAGAGCUGCAGGAAAAGGAAGAGGGGUUAUCACCAGCCAAUGAGAAGCCAGCGUGAAAGCAGCAUGAGGCGAGGAAAGAGAUGACUGUCGGGCAGCUGAUGCUCUUCAAGCCACUGAAGCGGGCCCUGAAUCUUUCUCCAGAGCCGCAGUGAGACCCGGGCUGAGAGCUGGAGUUACUGGAGCUGCUGGAGGAACUGGAGCCUCCGCUGCCGGUGUUACUGGUUGUUCUGGGAACCAGUUUCUCCACCCGCUCCCACAGCAGCCGAGGCUCCGGCGCACUGUGGGGCCAACAGGCAAGAAAGUUAGCGAUGAAGAGACUUUUUUUACUUUGUGCUUUUUUAUUCUGACAGUAACUGAUGUACAUUUCACAAAAUAAACUCCAAUUGUCCUUCUGUGGCUUAGCAGGUGCCUAAAUGAUUAAAAAGGGAAACAGAAAUUGGAAAAAUCCUGCUUAAUGAUUGCUUUAACAAAGUCCACGACAAGGCUCACAAAUGUGCUAAGUCGCUGGGAGUUAUAAAGUAAGAACAGAGGAUAUUUUGUUCUUGAGAAAACAAAGUGCAGCCCCCCAGGGAGUAAGAUGCCACACAGAGACUCUCAUGAGACAACUUAAGGCUUGUAAAUAGAAAAUGUUGCAAGUGUGUGUGAGCACAUUCACACACAGUUACAGAAAUAUCACAAGGUUAGACAGCUAGCUGUGUUACAUAAACCCUCCCACACAACUCCAUAAACAAAGAAUACAGCAGCGCAGACAGUGAGGAGACUGGGUUCACUUUACAGACACAACCCUCUUUAUGUGUGUGUGUUAAAUUCAUCUCCCAACAAGGCGGGCGUUUGUCUUUGCUUUCUUUUCUGAGAGUUAUAUAUUUUAUGUCUUUUAAAUUACACGGUUUAAAACAGCAGACUGAUUUUCACACUGUUUCAAACACUUUUCCCCCUGAAGGCUGUGGACAAAUUGACAUUGACAGAUCCAGCCCUGUUUACAGCUGCUCCACUGACAUAUUUCUGUCUGGUACA